Molecule: ribosomal RNA, 800 nt
Filed under: uncultured Pseudomonas sp.
Lineage: Bacteria; Pseudomonadati; Pseudomonadota; Gammaproteobacteria; Pseudomonadales; Pseudomonadaceae
Description: bacterial SSU rRNA
Rfam family: Bacterial small subunit ribosomal RNA
Source: RNAcentral
GAGUUUGAUCCUGGCUCAGAUUGAACGCUGGCGGCAGGCCUAACACAUGCAAGUCGAGCGGCAGCACGGGUACUUGUACCUGGUGGCGAGCGGCGGACGGGUGAGUAAUGCCUAGGAAUCUGCCUGGUAGUGGGGGAUAACGCUCGGAAACGGACGCUAAUACCGCAUACGUCCUACGGGAGAAAGCAGGGGACCUUCGGGCCUUGCGCUAUCAGAUGAGCCUAGGUCGGAUUAGCUAGUUGGUGAGGUAAUGGCUCACCAAGGCGACGAUCCGUAACUGGUCUGAGAGGAUGAUCAGUCACACUGGAACUGAGACACGGUCCAGACUCCUACGGGAGGCAGCAGUGGGGAAUAUUGGACAAUGGGCGAAAGCCUGAUCCAGCCAUGCCGCGUGUGUGAAGAAGGUCUUCGGAUUGUAAAGCACUUUAAGUUGGGAGGAAGGGCAGUUACCUAAUACGUAAUUGUUUUGACGUUACCGACAGAAUAAGCACCGGCUAACUCUGUGCCAGCAGCCGCGGUAAUACAGAGGGUGCAAGCGUUAAUCGGAAUUACUGGGCGUAAAGCGCGCGUAGGUGGUUCGUUAAGUUGGAUGUGAAAUCCCCGGGCUCAACCUGGGAACUGCAUUCAAAACUGACGGGCUAGAGUAUGGUAGAGGGUGGUGGAAUUUCCUGUGUAGCGGUGAAAUGCGUAGAUAUAGGAAGGAACACCAGUGGCGAACGCGACCACCUGGACUGAUACUGACACUGAGUGCGAAAGCGUGGGGAGCAAACAGGAUUAGAUACCCUGGUAGUCCACGCCGU